RNAcentral lists this transfer RNA (71 nucleotides) under Phrynosoma platyrhinos (Desert horned lizard). RNAcentral's name for it is "tRNA-OTHER". The record is from RNAcentral. Lineage: Eukaryota; Metazoa; Chordata; Lepidosauria; Squamata; Phrynosomatidae.
GCCAGUGUAGUGUAGUGGUUUGAACAUUGGACUAUGACUCUGGAGACCCGGUUCGAAUCCCAGCUCAGUCA